UACGGAGGUGGCAAGCGUUAAUCGGAAUUACUGGGCGUAAAGCGCACGCAGGUGGCUGAGAAAGUAGGUUGUGAAAGCCCUGGGCUUAACCUUGGAACUGCAGUCGAAACUCCUCAGCUAGAGUAUGGGAGAGGUCAGUGGAAGUCCCAGUGUAGCGGUGAAAUUCGUAGAUAUCGGGAGGAACAUCAGUGGCGAAGGCGGCUGCCUGGCUCGAUACUGACACUCAGGUGCGACAGCGUGGGGAGCAAACAGG
Molecule: ribosomal RNA, 253 nt
Filed under: uncultured bacterium
Lineage: Bacteria
Description: partial 16S ribosomal RNA
Rfam family: Bacterial small subunit ribosomal RNA
Source: RNAcentral